GCGGGGGUCGCCGAGCUUGGUCAAAGGCGCUGGGUUUAGGUCCCAGUACAUACUGUUUCGCAGGUUCAAAUCCUGCCCCCCGCAC
This 85-nucleotide transfer RNA is filed under the name Methanobacteriota archaeon. RNAcentral's name for it is "Euryarchaeota archaeon tRNA-Leu(tag)". It matches the Rfam family "tRNA". From Rfam's summary of the family: Transfer RNA (tRNA) molecules are approximately 80 nucleotides in length. Their secondary structure includes four short double-helical elements and three loops (D, anti-codon, and T loops). The record is from RNAcentral. Lineage: Archaea; Methanobacteriati; Methanobacteriota.